This 253-nucleotide ribosomal RNA is filed under the name uncultured bacterium. RNAcentral describes it as "partial 16S ribosomal RNA". It matches the Rfam family "Bacterial small subunit ribosomal RNA", at positions 524 to 776 of the family's 1533-position model. The record is from RNAcentral.
UACGGAGGGUGCGAGCGUUGUCCGGAAUCACUGGGCGUAAAGGGCGCGUAGGUGGCGUGAUAAGGGUGUGGUGAAAGCCCGGGGCUCAACCCCGGGACUGCCAUGCCGACUGUCAGGCUAGAGUACUGUAGGGGCAGGCGGAAUUCCGGGUGUAGCGGUGGAAUGCGUAGAGAUCCGGAGGAAGACCGGUGGCGAAGGCGGCCUGCUGGGCCGACAUUGACGCUCAGGCACGAAAGCGUGGGGAGCAAACAGG